AACGAACGUUAGCGGCGCGCCUGACACAUGCAAGUCGAGCGAGAAAGGGCUUCGGCCCCGGUAAAGCGGCGCACGGGUGAGUAACACGUGGAUAACCUACCCCUUGGUGGUGGAUAACCUUCCGAAAGGAGGGCUAAUACAGCGUAAGACCACGACUUCGAAAGAGGUUGGGGUAAAAGUGGGCCUCUGUACACAAGCUCACGCCAGGGGAUGGGUCCGCGGCCCAUCAGCUAGUUGGUAGGGUAACGGCCUACCAAGGCGAAGACGGGUAGCUGGUCUGAGAGGAUGAUCAGCCACACUGGAACUGAGACACGGUCCAGACUCCUACGGGAGGCAGCAGUGGGAAUCUUGCGCAAUGGACGAAAGCCUGACGCAGCCAUGCCGCGUGAAUGAUGAAGGUCUUAGGAUUGUAAAAUUCUUUCACCGGGGACGAUAAUGACGGUACCUUUUUAGCAAGCACCGGCUAACUCUGUGCCAGCAGCCGCGGUAAU
RNAcentral lists this ribosomal RNA (491 nucleotides) under uncultured bacterium. RNAcentral describes it as "bacterial SSU rRNA". It matches the Rfam family "Bacterial small subunit ribosomal RNA", at positions 29 to 524 of the family's 1533-position model. The record is from RNAcentral.